RNAcentral lists this ribosomal RNA (403 nucleotides) under bacterium. RNAcentral describes it as "partial 16S ribosomal RNA". It matches the Rfam family "Bacterial small subunit ribosomal RNA", at positions 355 to 776 of the family's 1533-position model. The record is from RNAcentral.
UGGGGAAUAUUGCACAAUGGGGGAAACCCUGCUGCAGCGACGCCGCGUGAACGAAGAAGGUAUUCGUAUCGUAAAGUUCUGUCCUAUGGGAAGAUAAUGACAGUACCAUAGAAGAAAGCUCCGGCUAAAUACGUGCCAGCAGCCGCGGUAAUACGUAUGGAGCGAGCGUUGUCCGGAAUUAUUGGGCGUAAAGGGUACGCAGGCGGUUUAAUAAGUCGAAUGUUAAAGAUCGGGGCUCAACCCCGUAAAGCAUUGGAAACUUGUAAACUUGAGAAGUGGAGAGGAAAGUGGAAUUCCUAGUGUAGUGGUGGAAUACGUAGAUAUUAGGAGGGAUACCAGUAGCGAAGGCGACUUUCUGGACACAAACUGACGCUGGGGUACGAAAGCGUGGGGAGCAAACAGG